UCGGUCCGCCUCAGCGGUGGGGAGCGAGCCAGGCCUCCCGCCACCGCUGCUGCCGCCACCACUGCAUCGGGCUGGUGCAGCCCCGGGCCAGGCCGCGGCCGGGGCAGGAGCGCAGCCAUACUGGAAGCUCCAGAAGAAAGAGCACCCCCCGGAAGUCAGCAGGGAAACGCAGAGAACUCCUAUGAACCACCAAAAGGCUGUAAAUGAUGAAACAUGCAAAGCUAGCCACAUAACACCAAGUAUCUUUCCUUCACCCUCUCUCGGUAAAUCAUCAUCUCGAAAGCCAUUUGGGAUCCUUUCUCCAAAUGUUCUGUGCAGUAUGAGUGGGAAGAGUCCUGUAGAGAGCACCUUGAAUGUUAAAACCAAAAAGAAUGCACCAUCUGCAACGAUCCACCAGGGCGAAGAAGAAGGACCACUUGAUAUCUGGGCUGUUGUGAAACCUGGAAAUACCAAGGAAAAAAUUGCAUUCUUUGCAUCCCACCAGUGUAGUAACAGGAUAGGAUCUAUGAAAAUAAAAAGUUCCUGGGAUAUUGAUGGGAGAGCUACUAAGAGAAGGAAAAAAUCAGGGGAUCUUAAA
This 577-nucleotide small RNA is filed under the name Pongo abelii (Sumatran orangutan). RNAcentral describes it as "processed transcript". The record is from RNAcentral. Lineage: Eukaryota; Metazoa; Chordata; Mammalia; Primates; Hominidae.